Molecule: ribosomal RNA, 238 nt
Filed under: uncultured Porphyromonas sp.
Lineage: Bacteria; Pseudomonadati; Bacteroidota; Bacteroidia; Bacteroidales; Porphyromonadaceae
Description: partial 16S ribosomal RNA
Rfam family: Bacterial small subunit ribosomal RNA
Source: RNAcentral
GAGUCUGGUACUGAGACACGGACCAGACUCCUACGGGAGGCAGCAGUGAGGAAUAUUGGUCAAUGGGCACGAGCCUGAACCAGCCAAGUCGCGUGAAGGAUGACUGUCUUUAUUCCCCUACAAAGAAGUUUACAAUCCAUAAGACAGGUCGACGCGGCCGUACCAGGACUUGACAUGUCGCGAAUCCAGUGGAAACACAGGAGUGCCUUCGGGAGCGCGAACACAGGUGGUGCAUGGC